Molecule: ribosomal RNA, 322 nt
Filed under: uncultured eukaryote
Lineage: Eukaryota
Description: partial 18S ribosomal RNA
Rfam family: Eukaryotic small subunit ribosomal RNA
Source: RNAcentral
CCCUUAGAUGUUCUGGGCCGCACGCGUGCUACACUGAGUGGAUCAGCGGGUCAGGUUGCGCGAAAGUGUUUCCUAAUCUUGAAAUCCGCUCGUGAUGGGGAUUGACGGUUGCAAUUUUCCGUCAUGAACGAGGAAUACCUUGUAAGCGCGGGUCAUCAUCCCGCGCUGAAUACGUCCCUGCCCUUUGUACACACCGCCCGUCGCGCCUACCGAUUGAGUGGUCCGGUGAGGCUUUGGGAUCUGAGCAAAAAGAGCGUUUCGCUCGUUUGGCUCGGAAAACUCAGUCGAACCUUAUCAUUUAGAGGAAGGAGAAGUCGUAACA